RNAcentral lists this transfer RNA (72 nucleotides) under Pristomyrmex punctatus. RNAcentral describes it as "tRNA-Lys". The record is from RNAcentral. Lineage: Eukaryota; Metazoa; Arthropoda; Insecta; Hymenoptera; Formicidae.
CAUUAAAUGACUGAUAAUAGUAUUGAUCUUUUAAAUCAAAUUAUAAUAGAAUUACCAUCCUAUUUUUAAUGG